Molecule: ribosomal RNA, 482 nt
Filed under: uncultured bacterium
Lineage: Bacteria
Description: partial 16S ribosomal RNA
Rfam family: Bacterial small subunit ribosomal RNA
Source: RNAcentral
GACGAACGCUGGCGGCGUGCUUAACACAUGCAAGUCGAACGAUGAAGAAGAGAAACGCGAACUUCGGUUCAAAUUUCACUUCGGAUUAGUGGCAGACGGGUGAGUAACGCGUGAGCAACCUACCUCUUACAAAGGGAUAGCCUCGGGAAACCGUGAUUAAUACCAUAUGACACAUUCAUAAGGCAUCUUAAGAAUGUUAAAGCUACGGCGGUAAGAGAUGGGCUCGCGUCCCAUUAGCUAGUUGGUGAGGUAACGGCCCACCAAGGCGACGAUGGGUAACCGGCCUGAGAGGGUGAACGGUCACAUUGGAACUGAGACACGGUCCAAACUCCUACGGGAGGCAGCAGUGGGGAAUAUUGCACAAUGGAGGGAACGCUGAUGCAGCGACGCCGCGUGAACGAUGAAGGAAUUCGUUUCGUAAAGCUCUGUUCUAUGGGAAGAAAAGGACUGUACCAAAGGAGAAAGCCCCGGCUAAAUACGUG